UACGGAGGGGGCAAGCGUUGUUCGGAGUUACUGGGCGUAAAGCGCGCGUAGGCGGUGCGGUAAGUCAGGGGUUAAAGGCUGCAGCUCAACUGCAGUAAGGCCUUUGAUACUAUCGCGCUAGAGUACCAGAGAGGAUGGCGGAAUUCCCGGUGUAGCGGUGAAAUGCAUAGAUAUCGGGAGGAACACCAGUAGCGAAGGCGGCCAUCUGGCUGGUAACUGACGCUGAGGUGCGAGAGCGUGGGGAGCAAACAGG
Molecule: ribosomal RNA, 253 nt
Filed under: uncultured microorganism
Description: partial 16S ribosomal RNA
Rfam family: Bacterial small subunit ribosomal RNA
Source: RNAcentral